CGGGGAUUUGAUCAAGGUCAUUACCACAUUCGGGUAAGGUUGUGCGAGAUUAAACUCUGUUGUCUAGGGUUGUACAGUCAGAUAUUGACCGUAAAUGAUCCAUGGUCCUUGGGUUAAAACCGUCUCAUAAUCCUCUGAAUUCUUGAAUUUCAUCAGGAAAUAUCCGUUCUCAAUAUCCAUCAAUUGGGAUGACAUGGAAGGCUUCCGAAAUCCAUUAAUCUGAUUUUGGAGUGCUGCAAAUCUAAUGUUUUGCCCCAACAACUUAAGCACCACUCAGGUAGACAUUUCUUUGAUUAAAAGUUGAUUAACCCGAUCCAAAAACUCAAUCGAUGGAACUCCGUUAACAGAUGACCUUUUGAUAUCUCCAUCAAGAAAAAGCAAAAUCAUCAUCCGUUUCAAGACUAACCACUUUACUCCCCCUUUUUGAUCAUGCAAUCUUUUACCGAAAAGCUUCUCUUUCUAGGAUAACGACGAUAAAGGAUUCGAAUCAACAACCAUCUCUGGAUCCGACCUUGAAUCUGUCUCUUUAAACCGCACCUUUUUAGUAUUCCGAUCACCAACAGAACAGGAACCAUCCCCAUUGUCACCACAGAGAGAAUUCGACAUCUUCUAUUUCAAUUCUAAACACAAAUUUCUGUUUAAAAUACAUAAAACUAGUUAAUUUAUGAAUAAUAUAUAAUUUAGCCCCUG
Molecule: long non-coding RNA, 690 nt
Filed under: Gossypium barbadense (sea-island cotton)
Lineage: Eukaryota; Viridiplantae; Streptophyta; Magnoliopsida; Malvales; Malvaceae
Description: long non-coding RNA (GBAR_LNC021687)
Source: RNAcentral